This is a non-coding RNA of Suncus etruscus (white-toothed pygmy shrew), 546 nucleotides long. The record is from the annotation of a RefSeq genome assembly. Lineage: Eukaryota; Metazoa; Chordata; Mammalia; Eulipotyphla; Soricidae.
AUGGAAUGGCUAUGGAAAAUCCUCUUCCUGCUCACAGUUUCCACAGGUGUGGACUCCCAGGAGCAGCUGGUGCAGUCUGGGCCUGAGUUGAAGAAGCCGGGAACAUCAGUGAAGAUCUCCUGCCAGGCAUCCGGAUACACCUUCACUAACUACUAUAUUAACUGGGUGCAGCAGCGACCUGGACAAGGGCUUGAGUGGAUAGGACAUGUAAGACCCAGAACUGGUGGUACAAACUAUGCACCGAAGUUCCAGGGCAGAGUCACCCUCACUGCAGACAAGUCCACCAGCACAGCCUACAUGGAAAUGAGAAAUCUGACGCCUGAAGAUACAGGCACAUAUUUCUGUGCGAGAGGAUACUCUGCCCAGUUUUUCCCCUUGUUUUAUGGAGGGACACCCCUGGCUGUGCUCAGGGUGAUGAGGUACGGCAGUCUCCUCCUAGAUCAAGUUGCUGCAAUUUGUUUGUCAUCAGGAUGUCAUAUCAACCUGCUGUGGGCUGGUGCCUUAGCAUUAUUAGAGACUCCCUGGGAAGUGUUUGAUUUCUGGUGA